UACGUAGGAGGCAAGCGUUGUCCGGAGUUACUGGGCGUGAAGCGCACGUAGGCGGUCGCAUCAGUCUGGGGUGACAGUUCCCGGCUUAACCGGAAAAGGACUCUGGAAACUGUGCGACUUGAGGGCUUCAGAGGGAUGUGGAAUUCCAGGUGGAGUGGUGAAAUGCGUAGAGAUCUGGAAGAACACCGGUGGCGAAGGCGGCUCGCUGGGCUGGUUCUAACACUCAUCCGCGAAAGCGUGGGGAGCAAACAGG
This 253-nucleotide ribosomal RNA is filed under the name uncultured bacterium. RNAcentral's name for it is "partial 16S ribosomal RNA". It matches the Rfam family "Bacterial small subunit ribosomal RNA", at positions 524 to 776 of the family's 1533-position model. The record is from RNAcentral.